GAAGGUGGCCUGUCCCCACUCAGGGUUGUACAAACACCCUGACGUGAGUAGUUGUGUCUAUUAAUAGACAUGAGGAACUCUGAAAUCCCCAUGACAAAGGCUGUGAGUGCAGAUUCCCCUUCCCAGCCCAGAAACACGUAGUUCGGCGUGAUGUAACCUUCCCACACCGGGGAGUUUCCCAGCAGGCAGUGAGGAGUAUAAGAGUGGGACUCAGGCACGGGCAAGGUAGAAGCCAUGGAGAGAGCCUGGAGCACUGCACACACUGAGACCACACUGCCAGCCACAAGGGCCAGCUUUUCCUCUUCUCAGCGUGUCUGUCCUCACGAGCCGGAGCUGAUGUCACCUUCAUUUCUUAUCCACUGCCCCCCAAUUACGAAAGCAGACAUGGACCAGGGACUUCUUCCCACCGUCUGCUUCCAUGGGUAGAGCCCACAGUCCAGCUGCAAGAUGAAGGAUUGAGACCUCGCUGAUGUUUCUCCUCUCUCUUUGCUGCACCAUUGCCCUCCACUCACUGGAGGAAGUCACAACGUGGAGGGGGCCCAGCCUUAGCUCUGCUGGGAAAGGAAGUGGGAGGUCAGCGAGAGUUGGCAGCAACAUUAUCUGCUUUCCAGCUGGGGUGGGACACUUCUGCUGGCAAAGAGGAGGUCUGCUGUCCCUCUUCUCACAGGAGUGUUUCAUGGUUGGGAGGUACCAAAUAACUCCCGUAAAAUGCUGUCCCAGGUACACUCUGCUGCCAAUGGGACAGUAAUUUUGGUAUUUCUGCAACAACCUUACUGUCUAUCUUGUUUAAAACAAUAAAAUAAACAAAGCCAUGUCUA
Sturnus vulgaris (Common starling) is the source of this 818-nucleotide long non-coding RNA. RefSeq lists it as uncharacterized. NCBI's taxonomy places the organism in Eukaryota, Metazoa, Chordata, Aves, Passeriformes, Sturnidae. The record is from RefSeq and is a predicted model, not a curated record.